GGACGAACGCUGGCGGCGUGCUUAACACAUGCAAGUCGAGCGGUAAGGCCCUUCGGGGUCCACGAGCGGCGAACGGGUGAGUAACACGUGAGUAAUCUGCCCAUCACUUCGGGAUAACUCCGGGAAACCGGUGCUAAUACCGAAUAUGACCACUUCAGGCAUCUGAUGGUGGUGGAAAGUUCCGGCGGUGAUGGAUGAGCUCGCGGCCUAUCAGCUUGUUGGUGGGGUAGUGGCCUACCAAGGCUUCGACGGGUAGCCGGCCUGAGAGGGUGACCGGCCACACUGGGACUGAGACACGGCCCAGACUCCUACGGGAGGCAGCAGUGGGGAAUAUUGGACAAUGGGCGAAAGCCUGAUCCAGCAACGCCGCGUGAGGGAUGACGGCCUUCGGGUUGUAAACCUCUUUCAGCAGGGACGAAGCGCAAGUGACGGUACCUGCAGAAGAAGCACCGGCCAACUACGUG
This 464-nucleotide ribosomal RNA is filed under the name uncultured bacterium. Its description in RNAcentral is "partial 16S ribosomal RNA". It matches the Rfam family "Bacterial small subunit ribosomal RNA", at positions 27 to 507 of the family's 1533-position model. The record is from RNAcentral.